RNAcentral lists this ribosomal RNA (1400 nucleotides) under uncultured bacterium. RNAcentral describes it as "16S ribosomal RNA". It matches the Rfam family "Bacterial small subunit ribosomal RNA". The record is from RNAcentral.
UUCGCCCUUAGAGUUUGAUCCUGGCUCAGGAUGAACGCUGGCGGCGUGCUUAACACAUGCAAGUCGAGCGAAGCACCUACUUUGGAUUUCUUCGGAAUGACGAGGUUUGUGACUGAGCGGCGGACGGGUGAGUAACGCGUGGGCAACCUGCCUCACACAGGGGGAUAACAGUUAGAAAUGACUGCUAAUACCGCAUAAGCGCACAGGACCGCAUGGUCUGGUGUGAAAAACUCCGGUGGUAUGGGAUGGACCCGCGUUGGAUUAGCUAGUUGGUGGGGUAACGGCCUACCAAGGCGACGAUCCAUAGCCGGCCUGAGAGGGUGAACGGCCACAUUGGGACUGAGACACGGCCCAGACUCCUACGGGAGGCAGCAGUAGGGAAUAUUGCACAAUGGGGGAAACCCUGAUGCAGCGACGCCGCGUGAAGGAAGAAGUAUCUCGGUAUGUAAACUUCUAUCAGCAGGGAAGACAAUGACGGUACCUGACUAAGAAGCCCCGGCUAACUACGUGCCAGCAGCCGCGGUAAUACGUAGGGGGCAAGCGUUAUCCGGAUUUACUGGGUGUAAAGGGAGCGUAGACGGACGGGCAAGUCUGAAGUGAAAGGCAGGGGCUCAACCCCUGGACUGCGUUUGAAACUGCUGGUCUUGAGUACCGGAGAGGUCAUCGGAAUUCCUUGUGUAGCGGUGAAAUGCGUAGAUAUAAGGAAGAACACCAGUGGCGAAGGCGGAUGACUGGACGGCAACUGACGGUGAGGCGCGAAAGCGUGGGGAGCAAACAGGAUUAGAUACCCUGGCAGUCCACGCUGUAAACGAUCAAUACUAGGUGUGCGGGGACUGACCCCCUGCGUGCCGCAGUUAACACAAUAAGUAAUUGCACCUGGGGAGUACGAUCGCAAGGUUGAAACUCAAAAGGAAUUGACGGGGGCCCGCACAAGCGGUGGAUUAUGUGGUUUAAUUCGAAGCAACGCGAAGAACCUUACCAGGGCUUGACAUCCUACUAACGAAGUAGAGAUACAUUAGGUGCCCUUCGGGGAAAGUAGAGACAGGUGGUGCAUGGUUGUCGUCAGCUCGUGUCGUGAGAUGUUGGGUUAAGUCCCGCAACGAGCGCAACCCUUACUGUCAGUUACUACGCAAGAGGACUCUGGCAGGACUGCCGUUGACAAAACGGAGGAAGGUGGGGAUGACGUCAAAUCAUCAUGCCCUUUAUGACUUGGGCUACACACGUACUACAAUGGACAGAGCAGAGGGAAGCGAAGCCGCGAGGUGGAGCGAAACCCAUAAAACUGUUCUCAGUUCGGACUGCAGUCUGCAACUCGACUGCACGAAGAUGGAAUCGCUAGUAAUCGCGAAUCAGCAUGUCGCGGUGAAUACGUUAUCGGGCCUUGCACACACCGCCCGUCA